UCUUUUUACAUUACAAGUCUUCACUUGAUCUUCUCGCUCAGUCACAUUCUGAAUGACACUUCAUCUGGAUACCGUCAGCUUGAUCUUUACGGGAUCCUUAAGUUCUUCUAACUUUGUUCGCUGAAAAUUGUUUUUCAUUUAAAACAAAAGUGAGCAUUCAAUUGCCCAACAAGUCAUAACAGUUGAACAAACAACUUCAGAAUUAAAACAUAUCUUUAGAACUUCUAUAACCGAACAAAGGUUAUGAAGCAGCUUGAAUAAUAGGAAUAGUCUUGAUUCCUAUCAUCUUAAAACAUCAGUCAUUUUUACUUUGAAAUACUUUCAUUCUUCUACCUUUUUCAUACACAUCCUAUCUGGCUAGAAUCAUUAGCACAAACUUAACAAUAACAGUUCAUGUAUAAACAGAACAUACUUGUAUUGAAAAGCUCAAUCACAGAACAAUGCAUAGCAUAGAAACACCGAAGUGUUCAAAUUGUGGCACAAGGCCUCAUACAUACUAUCACCUUGUACAUACAUCGCACAUAUACACAUAGACAAGACUUCUCAAGUACAACAUGUGAGAAGUUUAAGAAACUAGCAUUCAUGUAAUAUGAAUGAAGUUAGGAAACUUGCCUUACGCCCAGCUACAGUAUACGCUGAACUGCUCAUUUCAAUUCCUAUAUAACACAUAAGGAGAAAACAUAAACACCAAUUAGUCAUAUAUUGAACUUACGCAUUGGUUUAGUUAACUUUACUUCUUAGGGUUCGCCUUCUUUGCAUUAUAAGUUUACGCGACUAACUUCCUUUACCAGUUUACGGCUUCAUGACAUACGGAGAUGUCUUACUCAAAACGUUCAUCAUCUUUGAUGAUUUACAUUCUUCUCUAACUCACAUUCGGCUUUCAUUAAUCUUAUUACCGUUCAUUACGACUUCCUUGAUAAUUCAUAUACUAUUUAAUACUUUCUUUAUCCAUUACAUGAACCUCAGGUUCAUUUCCCUCGUCGCUCAACCUCUAAGGAAUCACAACCAUAGCAAUCCAUCACGUUCGUUAAUCGCGACUACGGUCCCCAGAUAUCGGUUACGUAACCCGCGUUUAUAUUCUUUAUCAAUUAAUCUUGCUUAAUCUUUAUGAUCAACCUUUAAUAAAGGUUUAUAUUACUUUAUUAAGUGUUACAUUAGUUGAAUAUUAUAUUCUUUAUCUUCCCUUACAUUUCCCCCAAGACCUGAGCAGUUCAAAGCUCAUCUCUGGCUUUUUCCCAACACUGGCGCUGCGGCGCCACUCCCUUCUUUAUCUCUCGCGCCGCGACGCGAGUUGGCAGUACCCGGUCCCCAGUCUAGCACUGCCACGCCACUCUACAAGGCAUGACUGGCUCCGCGGAGCCAAGCCCUAACCCUAGAAAAUUUCUCUAAGUGUUAAAUAAAUUUUGAGAUGCUUACUUCGCGAUCUCAUAACUCCUUCGUUAUAACUCAGAACGAGGUCAUUCCAAAGCCAUUCUCUUCCUUAUCUAACAUACUUAAAUACCCCUCAGACAGAACUUCAUUCUAAAUCAGUUAACGUGCCAUUCAAUUGGCUUGAUCUUCACCCUUUAUUCAUUUUUACGCUUUUAAUGUUCUUCGCUCGUUCGUCCGUAAUUCGGUCAUCCGAACUCAGAACUCGUUCGUUCUUGAGUCCAUGACUCACGUUUUCUACGUUUUCUUACUUUCUUAUGAAACCCUACACGUUCGGGUUCAUUUACUAACUUUCUAAUUCUCGUUCGUCUUUUACAAAAUUUUCGCCAAAACUUCGUUAUAGUUAAGUUUUAAUCUAUUCUUCAUGAACGUUUCUACCGUUCCUAACCAAGAAAUAUGCAAAUAAGUUAUACGCGAUGGUUUUAAACUUGUCCAUCAACAACAAUUAAACUACGAUGGUUUUAAAUUUGUCCAUCAACAACGUUCUUCAUGUUCUUCGCGUGUUCUUCGUGUUCUUCGUUCGUUCUUCAUUUUAAUCGAUAUUUUGGAUUAUGAUUUCACUUUAUAUUGGAAUUUGAUGUUAUAGAACAUCAUUCCUUACUUAUUUCACCUACUUAUUCAUAUAAUCCACUCAGAUCGUUCUAAUUCAUUACGAAUCUUAUACUUCCUUAAGAAAUUUAUUUACUAAACUUUAAAUUCUUAUUUCUUCAUUUUCUUAUGAUUUCAACCAUAUGAACUCAUUUAUCACCUUAUCUACUUCUUAUCUUCAUUAAGUUAUAUUUUUAAACAUAAAAACUUAAAGAAAAUUUAUAAAAGACUAGGUUUCGGAUUACCGUUCUUCUUUAUUUUUCUUCCGCUAGACAAAGCCGGCGAUUUACUAGCUUUUCUAUUUCACGAACACUUUCGAUCCGAUCAUUCAUGUUCAUGUUCCUUCUCCCUCUUCAUCUGAACCCUCUCUCUCUCUA
Molecule: long non-coding RNA, 2393 nt
Filed under: Panax ginseng (ginseng)
Lineage: Eukaryota; Viridiplantae; Streptophyta; Magnoliopsida; Apiales; Araliaceae
Description: long non-coding RNA (PGIN_LNC002040)
Source: RNAcentral